UCCCUGGUGGUCCAGUGGUUAAGACUUCAGCUUCCACUGCAGGAGGUUCAGGCUCGAUCCCUGUUCAGGGAG
This 72-nucleotide transfer RNA is filed under the name Bos taurus (domestic cattle). It matches the Rfam family "tRNA". Rfam says of the family: Transfer RNA (tRNA) molecules are approximately 80 nucleotides in length. Their secondary structure includes four short double-helical elements and three loops (D, anti-codon, and T loops). RNAcentral also lists the same sequence under 4 other names. The record is from Rfam by way of RNAcentral. Lineage: Eukaryota; Metazoa; Chordata; Mammalia; Artiodactyla; Bovidae.